This 735-nucleotide ribosomal RNA is filed under the name Escherichia sp. Its description in RNAcentral is "bacterial SSU rRNA". It matches the Rfam family "Bacterial small subunit ribosomal RNA", at positions 28 to 750 of the family's 1533-position model. The record is from RNAcentral. Lineage: Bacteria; Pseudomonadati; Pseudomonadota; Gammaproteobacteria; Enterobacterales; Enterobacteriaceae.
AUUGAACGCUAGCGGGAUGCUUUACACAUGCAAGUCGAACGGCAGCGCGAAGAAAGCUUGCUUUCUUUGGCGGCGAGUGGCGGACGGGUGAGUAAUGCAUCGGAAUGUGCCCAGUAGCGGGGGAUAACUACUCGAAAGAGUGGCUAAUACCGCAUAUUCUCUACGGAGGAAAGAGGGGGAUCUUCGGACCUCUCACUACUGGAGCAGCCGAUGUCAGAUUAGCUAGUUGGUGGGGUAAAGGCCUACCAAGGCAAUGAUCUGUAGCUGGUUUGAGAGGACGACCAGCCACACUGGGACUGAGACACGGCCCAGACUCCUACGGGAGGCAGCAGUGGGGAAUUUUGGACAAUGGGGGGAACCCUGAUCCAGCCAUCCCGCGUGUAUGAUGAAGGCCUUCGGGUUGUAAAGUACUUUUGACAGGGAAGAAACGACACCACCUAAUACGUGAUGUUAAUGACGGUACCUGUAGAAUAAGCACCGGCUAACUACGUGCCAGCAGCCGCGGUAAUACGUAGGGUGCAAGCGUUAAUCGGAAUUACUGGGCGUAAAGGGUACGCAGGCGGCUAGGAAAGAAGGAUGUGAAAUCCCAGGGCUCAACCUUGGAACUGCAUUCUUAACUGCCUAGCUAGAGUAUGUCAGAGGGGGGUAGAAUUCCACGUGUAGCAGUGAAAUGCGUAGAUAUGUGGAGGAAUACCGAUGGCGAAGGCAGCCCCCUGGGAUAAUACUGACGCUCAG